GUCUGUUUCUCUUUCUCUCUCAUGGUGUGUGUGUAUGUGUGUGUGUGUGUGUGUGUGUGUGUGAUUCAGCUGAUUAGAUUGUAAUCAACAUCAUAUGGAAAUCUACACUAUCAUAGUCAAUUAAGGAGGAAAGAGAAGACAACAGAGACAAAGGCACUGAGGAGUCCUUGGACGUGUUUCCUGUGGAGAAAGGAUCCUUGAGGAGGCAUUGUUUGCUCUUGCUUGCCUGCCAUUUUACCUCAUGCAUCUAAUCAAAAUUGGACAUCGGAAAAUGGAAGCUCACCACAGUCCACAGGAGACAAAGCCCUUGAUUCAUGGUGUAGAAAUGUCAAGGUGUUAUUGGUUGCUAUCUAUAAUUUGCCUCUUUGAGCCUACUAACAGGAAGACCUCUGGAACUCAUUGAGGUUGGCAUCUUGAAUGGUUCUUUGUCAGUGUACCGGACGACUUUGGAAACAUCACUGCCAAUCUGUUAGAAGUUGUCUAAUUCCUCUGAAAAUACCUGUGUCUACACAACAUCAUUUGGGUUUCUCCCAACAGAGAAAAUAUAUGCUAUGCAGAAAAAAGAAAACCAUUCUGCAACCUCUGUGUUCCUUUCAUUAAAGAUUCGAUCUUUUUCUUCAUAUAAUGGCUCCCCCCUGAGCAAUAAAACAAUCCACAGUUUCAAGGCUUUUUGUACCACUUCUCUUCCCUGCCUUCCCAGAAGUCCUAGAGAUAAUUGUCAUGUACAGGAAGAGCAAGGUUUCUUUGCUACAUUUUUAAGCUGUGUUACUUAAAUUAGUUAAUUUAUGAUAAUAAAAUUUCUGAUGAAAUUAAAGUUA
Molecule: long non-coding RNA, 818 nt
Organism: Mus musculus (house mouse)
Lineage: Eukaryota; Metazoa; Chordata; Mammalia; Rodentia; Muridae
Product: predicted gene, 30904
Exons: 3
Source: RefSeq, a predicted model, not a curated record